AUUGCUUUAUAUGCUAUAUAUCUGUCUGUCUGUCUGUCUGUCUGUCUGUCUACCUAUCCAUCCUCCUGGCACUAUGCUUACUUAUAGCUCUAUUGAAAUACAGGGUAACAUUUUGCAGACAUCUUGAAUCAAAACCAUAAUAAUUUACCUUUCAUAUAUUAGUUUAAAUUAAUAAUUCCUAUGAUCGAAUAUAGUUAUGGAUCACACAUAAUUUAGCCUUUAUGUUAUUUAACCCCUAAAUUCAUAAAUACAUUUAGAAUAGUGCAGUAAGGCUUACUAAAUUUAUAAUGUAUUCACUAAACAGUGCAUUAUGGGCAGUUGACUCUCAGAAUGUAAGCCAAAAUUUACAUAGCUGCAAAAUACCUCUGGUCCACAUAGUAUUGCUGCAGUUUACCUAAGCUCUAGGUUUAGUGAAUGAAUGCAAAUAUUCUCCAUGUAAAAUGUGUAUUUUUACACAAUCACUGAAAUCUUACUAAAUUCAUAUUCACAUCACAGCUGAUUUUGUGUGACUGUAAUUAGGUAAAAUACUCAGCUAACAAACCAUCACAAAUAUUUAAGUAAAAAAAA
Pelobates cultripes (western spadefoot toad) is the source of this 567-nucleotide non-coding RNA. NCBI's taxonomy places the organism in Eukaryota, Metazoa, Chordata, Amphibia, Anura, Pelobatidae. The record is from the annotation of a GenBank genome assembly.